Molecule: long non-coding RNA, 1547 nt
Organism: Zingiber officinale
Lineage: Eukaryota; Viridiplantae; Streptophyta; Magnoliopsida; Zingiberales; Zingiberaceae
Exons: 4
Source: RefSeq, a predicted model, not a curated record
UCUUUUUCUUCUCCCAUCGCCGAACCCCAUCCUCACCGCACAAUCCCCUCUUCCUCUCCUUCUCCCCUCUCUCGAACUCACCACUGCCGCCUCUCCCGAGCCUCUUCAUCUUCCCCAAUUGACGGGCCAACAACCCGACGUUGCGCGACGCCUCACCUCCUUCAUGAACAAAGCCAUCGGUCGAGGUAAGCCUCGAGCCCUUCUCCUCCUCUUUACGUCACGUAACACUCAACGCCACUGCCGCUCUCCCUUCUUCCCUCUGCGCCACUGCCGACCCCCACGGACCCACGACCGGUCGUCGCAGCUUAAAGCCGACCACCGUUCAGCGUCGAACCUUCCUCUCCCGAAGCUCUCGGUUUCUUCUCGCCUCACACCGCCGAUCCGUGCCCUAGAUACACCGCCGCCUCUGCGAGGGUUGCGCCGAUCAUCGCUAGAAGCCGAGCACCCAGAUCCUUCACUCUGUCGUGCCUAGCUCCAGCCGUUGGAGCCACCAGCAACCACUGUCGAUUUGGUGGCUAUUGGGAGACGUUGACCACAUGUUUCUAGCGGCAACUUAUCCUAGGGCCAAUUACUUUGCUCUAGCAGCAAAUCUUCUCCGGCAGUAAGUUAUCGGCUGAGGCAUUCAACUCAGGACUCUGAUUUGCGAUGAGCUGCUUUACGUGGGGUUUUUUUUGGCACGCGCUAUUUUUGAGACGGGAAAUCCAAAGAGCCACAGAUUAUGGUCAAGUCGAAUCAAAUUUGGCAUGAUUUGGAUCUCAAAUGGAGGAGAUCAAGCUGAAUCAACAUGAACCAUUGAUCCAAAUCUAGAGAGAUUUUUGCUCUUUCAUUCAUAUUAAAGCCACCCAGCCCUUGAUUCAGAUAUGAAAUAGUAGGGACUAUUGGAUUAAAGCAAGGAGACAACCUCAAUUAAUCUGAUCUGGACCACUUAUCUCCUCAUCAUUAAGAUCCAAUGGAUAACCCUCAACUAAAAAUAGACGGUCAAAUUUUAGAUCCCUUUUCUUGGACGGCUAUGAUCAAGAUUGGCUCCUCUCUUCUCUCACAUGGGCAGGAAGUGGAAAAAGGGGGGAUUGCAUGCAGCAGGGAACGCAUGGAACUUGGAAGCCACCACCACUUCUUCUUCCUCCUUCACCAACGGUCGGCAUCCACCUCUGUUCAUCCAUCGUCGUCGGCCAGCCAUCCAUAACCCAACCUUCUCCCCAUCUUCUCCUCGCGACUUCUUCUCUUGCGGAAGGUUAGGGUACGCGGCAACAUCCACAAGCAGCUUCACGCGACACCGGCACACCGCCACUCCUCUCUUCUCCAUCUUGAUCUCGAGGCUGGCGGUCCACCUUUUCACAGCCACCUCUUCUCAUUCUGGCGAGUCCGAGCAACACGUCCUCUUCAUCAGAUUUCGAUAGCAACCCUCUUUGGCAUAGUUAUUUUGUUUGAAUUGAUUGUUAAUGUUUGUUAAGAGAGAUUGAAUGCUUGUAUUGAUUUGAUUCCCUAUGUGUUAAUUUUUGCAUGUACUUUGCUUAGUUUACGUAAUGCUCACCAAGUGUUCGUUGAAA